AAUUAACAAGGGAGUAUAGUAGAUGGAGAACAUACCCACUGCUCUCAUCAUGGACAAAGAAAAUUAAGUAGCCAUCAUCUUCUUCACAUGUAUUAUCAGGAUUCUGGGGAACAAAGAUUGCCUCUGAUCCGAAUCUCCCAGCCUUAAGUUGAGCCACAUGAUUGAUGAACUUGAUAGAGCUUACCUGCCUGUGUAGCGUUCAUUCACUAUGGGAAAAUCUACUGCUGAUGCAGAUAAUCUUUUCUGUGAAGCCUGACCACUUUUAAGAGCCGUUGAAAACGUCAAGAUCAGCAUUCUCAAUCCGACAGCUGAUAAGAACUACUUCGUCUCCUUCCUCCCAAGCAUUUGCUGACAAUCAAUUGAGUACAUUAAUGUUCAAUACAGGAAAUAUCUAGAAAUAUCCUAUGAUGAUUAUGAGUAAUAACAGUUCGUGUUAAAACAUUGAACUGCUUGUUAUUUUCUUACUCAAGAUUAUUAUGAUUGAGAUUCAAGAGCCAGUCUAACCUAGUUUGGUUUCAGGUUGUGCAUAGAGCAUCUCCAAGGGAAGGUGUAAAUGGAGAGGUAAAGUGAAUUAACUACCAUAUUUACAUGUUCUUUACAAAAAUUCAUUCUCCAAGGGAAGAGGCAUUUGUAAUAUACCUUCUUCAAUUUUAAAAAGGCAUCUUUACCUCUUCUUCACACAAAAGGUAAAAAGUUAGUUAUUUUUGUAAGAGCUCCGAAUAGUCAUUGGCUUUUCGGAAAACAAUGAAAUUUACAUAUGAAAAGAUUCAGUUUGAUCUA
Salvia splendens (bonfire salvia) is the source of this 780-nucleotide long non-coding RNA. RefSeq lists it as uncharacterized. The transcript has 3 exons. The record is from RefSeq and is a predicted model, not a curated record. Lineage: Eukaryota; Viridiplantae; Streptophyta; Magnoliopsida; Lamiales; Lamiaceae.